Camelina sativa (false flax) is the source of this 487-nucleotide non-coding RNA. NCBI's taxonomy places the organism in Eukaryota, Viridiplantae, Streptophyta, Magnoliopsida, Brassicales, Brassicaceae. The record is from RefSeq and is a predicted model, not a curated record.
ACAAGUGUUAAAAACAUAGCUAGCACUACAAGCCUGAUUCUGAAAUAUCAAGCCAUUCAUCAAAAGGAAAAAUCUAGAUGAUGCAAAUUCAAGAUAGAAAGAGGUACAAUUGUAUUGGAACUCGAGAAGGCACCAGAAUUCAGAGAAGGAUGAAGUUUAUUCAGAGAACAAACACUGUCUGUGGCCGGCGACAGUGUUGUUACAGGAAACAACUAAAACUUAGCUAGCACUACUAAUCCGAUUCAUCAAAAACAAAGCCGUCACAAGGAAAAAGCUAAAUGAUGGAAAGUCAAGGCAGGUGAGCAAAUCACUGUUUCAAAAUCAGCAUGCUCUUCACCCCAUAGCUCCAGCUUUUGCCUGCACCACAAAGACGUACACCACAUCUGCCAGAAUUCAAGUGCAUCUGUAGAUGAGUUUACCCAUCUGUGUCACCGCAUCCGCUGGAUAAAGGUUCCCAAGUCGAGGAUCGAUUAUUUCCGCAAUCUUA